GACGAACGCUGGCGGCGUGCUUAACACAUGCAAGUCGAACGGAAAGUCCCUGCUUUUGUGGGGUGCUCGAGUGGCGAACGGGUGAGUAACACGUGAGUAACCUGCCCUUGACUUUGGGAUAACUGCAGGAAACUGGGGCUAAUACCGGAUAGGAGCUCCUGCUGCAUGGUGGGGGUUGGAAAGUUUGGGCGGUUGGAGAUGGACUCGCGGCUUAUCAGCUUGUUGGUGUGGUAGUGGCUUACCAAGGCUUUGACGGGUAUCCGACCUGAGAGGGUGACCGGCACCCAUGGGACUGCGAUACGGCCCAGACUCCUACGGGAGGCAGCAGAGGGGAGUAUUGCCCAAUGAGGGGAAGCGUGAUGAAGAAGCGCCGGGUGCGGAAAGACGGCCUUCGAGUUGUAAACCGCUGUCGCCUGUGAAGAAGCGUAAGUGACGGUAAUCGGUAAAGAAGCACCGGCUAACUACGUG
RNAcentral lists this ribosomal RNA (468 nucleotides) under uncultured bacterium. RNAcentral's name for it is "partial 16S ribosomal RNA". It matches the Rfam family "Bacterial small subunit ribosomal RNA", at positions 28 to 507 of the family's 1533-position model. The record is from RNAcentral.